Molecule: ribosomal RNA, 253 nt
Filed under: uncultured bacterium
Lineage: Bacteria
Description: partial 16S ribosomal RNA
Rfam family: Bacterial small subunit ribosomal RNA
Source: RNAcentral
UACAGAGGUGGCAAGCGUUGUUCGGAAUUACUGGGCGUAAAGGGCGCGUAGGCGGUUCGUUAAGUCCUGUGUGAAAUCCCCCGGCUCAACUGGGGAACUGCACAGGAAACUAGCGGGCUUGAGUUCGGGAGAGGGAAGCGGAAUUCCGGGUGUAGCGGUGAAAUGCGUAGAUAUCGUGAGGAACACCAGAGGCGAAGGCGGUUACCUGGACAAUUACUGACGCUCAGGCACGAAAGCAUGGGUAGCAAAAGGG